GAUGAACGCUGACAGAAUGCUUAACACAUGCAAGUCAACUUGAACUUCGGUUUGGGUGGCGGACGGGUGAGUAACGCGUAAAGAACUUGCCUCACAGAUAGGGACAACAUUUGGAAACGAAUGCUAAUACCUGAUAUUAUGAUUAUAUGGCAUCGUAUAAUUAUGAAAGCUAUAUGCGCUGUGAGAGAGCUUUGCGUCCCAUUAGCUAGUUGGAGCGGUAACGGCUCACCAAGGCGAUGAUGGGUAGCCGGCCUGAGAGGGUGAUCGGCCACAAGGGGACUGAGACACGGCCCUUACUCCUACGGGAGGAAGAAGUGGGGAAUAUUGGACAAUGGACCAAGAGUCUGAUCCAGCAAUUCUGUGUGCACGAUGAAGUUUUUCGGAAUGUAAAGUGCUUUCAGUUGGGAAGAAAAAAAUGACGGUACCAACAGAAGAAGUGACGGCUAAAUACGUG
Molecule: ribosomal RNA, 454 nt
Filed under: uncultured bacterium
Lineage: Bacteria
Description: partial 16S ribosomal RNA
Rfam family: Bacterial small subunit ribosomal RNA
Source: RNAcentral